GGGAAGACACAAUACCAAUGAGAUAUGAGCCCAACCAUAUAAGAAAUUGACACCACUCUCUACCCAAAACCUUAAGGCAACGGGUUAAUGAGUCUUUCAUCUUUAUAUAGUGCUCUACUUUCUCAUUUUUAUCCAAUGUGGGACUUGGACUCACACUUGCAUGCCCAACAAUCUCCCCCUCAAGGGUGAGUCCCUUCCACAUUGGUACACUCCCC
This 215-nucleotide long non-coding RNA is filed under the name Vigna radiata. Its description in RNAcentral is "long non-coding RNA (VRAD_LNC005746)". Lineage: Eukaryota; Viridiplantae; Streptophyta; Magnoliopsida; Fabales; Fabaceae. The record is from RNAcentral.